Mya arenaria is the source of this 2079-nucleotide long non-coding RNA. RefSeq lists it as uncharacterized. NCBI's taxonomy places the organism in Eukaryota, Metazoa, Mollusca, Bivalvia, Myida, Myidae. The record is from RefSeq and is a predicted model, not a curated record. The transcript has 2 exons.
GUUAUGACGUCACAGAUAUUUAUUUAUAGUUAUUGAUAUUAUUUUGGUAAAGAAUUGAAAAAAAGGAGUCGAAAACUCGAAAAGUUUUAUUGACGGUUAACAGUUUGUCAAUAUAAAUAAUAAUGUUGUGGAUUUUACAUGGAUCGAAGAUUCAUCAAAGGGGUCACUCAUACCAACUAUCUAGCAUAAAUAACUAUGAAUUACGGCACUUUCACAAAGUCAGAUAAUCAGGUCAUCAACUACGCAUCCGAUAACGCAUCCGAAAACGAUCGACAGGUCACCUGCGACGCAUCCGAGGACGGUCGACAGCAGGUCAUCGAGGACAGUCGGUAGUAGGUCAUCGAGGACAGUCGGUAGCAGGUCAUCGAGGACAGUCGGUAGCAGGUCAUCAACUACCAUCCGAGAACGGUCGGCAGGUCACCUGCGACUUCGUCAUCAACGUCACCCGCGACGAAUCCGAGGACGGUCGGCAGGUCACCUGCGACCUCGUCAUCAACGUCACCUGCGACGAAUUCGAGGACGGUCGACAACAGGACACGAACGACGCAUCCGAGGACGGUCGGUAGCAGGACGCAGAUUGACCCCCUUGAUAAGUUGGUAGAUUGGAUAUUGGGUAAUGGAGCAAAACCAAAUUUUCUCAAACGGAACAAUCAAAAAAUAGGCAAAGUGGUGGUGGACUAGAAAAUGGUGAAUAUAUGUCUAAUGUAAUUUACAAAAGAAGUAAGGACGAAUCUCUUAACCUGGAUUACGCAAGGGGCUUUUAAAAUGAGCGCGAACGGAGAAAUUCCGACAAAGAGGUUAGCGACUAAAAGUCCAAUCUGGCCGUGUGCAGGUGACCUAUUCAUUAUGGAUACAGACACUUUCAAAAAUAAAAUGGGCCGACGAUGUGAUGGUUAUUUAUGGGCAAAUGAUGGGGCAAAGAAAUAUAUAUAUAAAAAAAUAAAAAAAAUAGAUUUACUUAAGGUUAGGCAUAGAAUUAAAGUAGUUGAAAAGGAUACAGGAAAACCGCGAGCUUCCAGUGAUUUUAUAAGAAUAGAAUACCAAAUAGCGGAGUGUGAUCGGUUUUUUUUUAAUUCAUUACAUUGGGGAUGAACUUGUUUAAACCAAUAGGUCACGGCAAUCAAAAAAGCGAGGACAAGGUUUUCUAAAGGACUUGUCGAUCUGUAUUCGAUACGAUUAAAGAAGAGAUUGAAAUAGGCAAAUCGGCUGGUAAAAUAUAUUAUAAUAUGAAAUGCUCUGCCGAAGGAGAAAUGGCUGCCUCAGAGACUCCUAAAAAUUUACGACAAGUACAAAAUGUGUCUGCUCUAUUACAAUAAAAUAAAAGAUUGUCUCAUGACGAAAUAUAUAAUACAAUUGAAUGAGCAUUCCAAUAAGAUGGAUUUAUUCUUCAAAUUGAUAUCUAUCCCUCUCUCGUUAUAAUAUUAGGAAUGAAGCAAGCAUUAAGCGAUUUAAAUGAACUAUUAGCAGUAAAAACAACUGAGCACGUUUUGUUCUCAAUGUAUACAACAUUUGACUGUGGAAACUUUUAUUUAACACAUAUUGUAUACAAGAACUUUUUUAUUCAAAUCAGAGCCAACGAUACCAGUUGCUUUCGUGAUGCAUGAAAAAAAAUAUCAGAAAUUUCACGAAAGACUAUUGCAGGUGAUUAUUGAAAAAUGUCCGAACUUGGUAAAAAAAGACAUACAUUUUGUAGCAGACAGAAAGGUUGGGCUAACAAAGGCAAUCGAAAAAAUAAUUCCGAAUUCAAAAAUAUUUCAUUGUUGGAAUCAUAUUAAGCGAGAUGUAAGAGAAUGGCUAAGACAAAUAAGUCCAACAACUGAUGUUGAUGUUUAUUUAAGCAACCUUGACACUUUAAUAUGUGUGAUAAUGAAAAUCAGUUAAGGAGUUCGUUAAAUAGUUUAAGGGGUGCAUGGUGUGAAAGCUUCUGUUCUUAUUUUUAACAACAUGUUAAUAGAUAGAUUUGUGAUUUACAAUUCCAGUUCAUCCUUAAAAAAAUGUGAUUAUAAUAUUUAUUUAAUAUUUCACACUACACUGUAUAAUUGUAAUAUAUUUAAUAUGUAUAUGAAACACAAAAAACUG